GACGAACGCUGGCGGCGUGCUUAACACAUGCAAGUCGAGCGGUAAGGCCCUUUCGGGGGUACACGAGCGGCGAACGGGUGAGUAACACGUGGGUGACCUGCCCUUAGCUCUGGGAUAAGCCUGGGAAACUGGGUCUAAUACCGGAUAUGACUCCAUGACGCAUGUUGUGGGGUGGAAAGCCUUGUGCGGCUAGGGAUGGGCCCGCGGCCUAUCAGCUUGUUGGUGGGGUGAUGGCCUACCAAGGCGACGACGGGUAGCCGGCCUGAGAGGGCGACCGGCCACACUGGGACUGAGACACGGCCCAGACUCCUACGGGAGGCAGCAGUGGGGAAUCUUGCGCAAUGGGCGAAAGCCUGACGCAGCGACGCCGCGUGAGGGAUGACGGCCUCGGUUGGUAAC
RNAcentral lists this ribosomal RNA (399 nucleotides) under uncultured bacterium. Its description in RNAcentral is "bacterial SSU rRNA". It matches the Rfam family "Bacterial small subunit ribosomal RNA", at positions 28 to 430 of the family's 1533-position model. The record is from RNAcentral.